This 119-nucleotide ribosomal RNA is filed under the name Triticum aestivum (bread wheat). RNAcentral also lists the same sequence under 1 other name. The record is from RNAcentral. Lineage: Eukaryota; Viridiplantae; Streptophyta; Magnoliopsida; Poales; Poaceae.
CGAUGCGAUCAUACCAGCACUAUAGCAUCGGAUCCCAUCAGAACUCCAAAGUUAAGCGUGCUUGGGUGAGAGUAGUGCUAGGAUGGGUGACCUCCUGGGAAGUCCUCGUGUUGCAUUCC